GACUAGGUAGCAUAAUUGGCAGUGCGGAAGAUUGCAAACCUUCUGGUGGCGGUUCGAGUCCGCCUCUAGUCU
Molecule: transfer RNA, 72 nt
Filed under: Pharyngomonas kirbyi
Lineage: Eukaryota; Heterolobosea; Pharyngomonadea; Pharyngomonadida; Pharyngomonadidae
Description: tRNA-Cys
Rfam family: tRNA
About the family: Transfer RNA (tRNA) molecules are approximately 80 nucleotides in length. Their secondary structure includes four short double-helical elements and three loops (D, anti-codon, and T loops). Further hydrogen bonds mediate the characteristic L-shaped molecular structure. tRNAs have two regions of fundamental functional importance: the anti-codon, which is responsible for specific mRNA codon recognition, and the 3' end, to which the tRNAs corresponding amino acid is attached (by aminoacyl-tRNA synthetases). tRNAs cope with the degeneracy of the genetic code in two manners: having more than one tRNA (with a specific anti-codon) for a particular amino acid; and 'wobble' base-pairing, i.e. permitting non-standard base-pairing at the 3rd anti-codon position.
Source: RNAcentral